AGGCGUUUCUCGUCUUCCGAAAAUCGCACGCACGAAGAGCGAAGCACAGCGCAGAAGAAGAGUGCACGUUCUUUCUCGACGGCAACGAUGUGAACGUGACGCUGACGCCGCCUCCACACGGACAUUACUCUCUAUUCAGAGAAAAUUUGGCUUGCGAGAAUGUUUGGGAUACAAAGUGCACUGAUAAGCGUCUCGUUUUGGCGAUGUCUGAAGAAAAUGACACAUCUACAUCGCUGCUAUUCGACUGGCACGAAACUCCCCGAAUUAACAUCGGUCAGAUACAAGAUCCAACGUGGGCCUUAUAACACGAUCUCGGACGCAGACGUUCGCUUCUUUGAUGCGCUGCUCGGCUCCAAUCGACUUGUCACAGAUCCGGAUGAGUGCGAGAGUUACAACAUUGAUUUCCCUAAGACCGUUAGAGGUGCUAGUCGAUUAGCGUUGAAACCGAAAUCCACUGCUGAAGUGUCGGCCAUAUUAAAGUAUUGCAAUGAGAGGCGAUUAGCAGUUUGCCCGCAAAGUGGUAAUACCGGGCUUGUGGGAGGUAGCAAUCCUGUGUUUGACGAAAUUGUCAUUUCAAUGAAGCUCAUGAACAGAGUCUUGGAUACGAAUGAAUUGGCCGGUAUAUUGACAUGCGAGGCUGGCUGCGUUUUGCAGGACUUGGAGAAUCACUUGAGCACGUUCGGGCUGAUGAUGCCCUUGGACCUUGGAGCUAAAGGUAGCUGCUUGAUUGGCGGUUGCGUUUCCACCAACGCGGGCGGACUGCGACUCCUACGCUACGGUAAUCUUCAUGGAAAUGUCUUGGGAGUUGAAGCGGUGAAGGCCAAUGGUAACGUAGUGGACGCGCUGAAUGUAUUGAAAAAGAACAAUACCGGCUAUCAUUUAAAACAUAUGUUUAUUGGCUCAGAAGGAACACUAGGAAUUGUGACCAAAGUAGCUAUCCAGUGUCCACCCUUACCAAAAGCUGUGAACAUUGCAUUUCUAGGAUUAGCGAGUUUUAAUAAAGUAUUAAAAGCCUAUCAUCUGGCGAAGUACGAGCUCGGUGAGAUACUGUCGUCCUGUGAAAUGAUGGACCGACUGUCUUUGGACGUUUCUAUUAAUAGUUUGAGCAUGAAGAAUCCAUUAACGAGUGAAAAUGGUCACGAAUUCUACAUGCUUAUCGAGACAUCCGGGAAUAAUUUGGUUCACGACGAAGAGAAGCUCUCCUCGUUCGUGGAAAAGGCAAUUAAUGAUCACAUCAUUGAAGAUGGCACUUUGACUAACGAACCGACCAAGUUUAAUAAUAUAUGGGCACUUCGAGAAAGAAUCAGCGAGGGCGUUCUUCGCGAUGGUUACGUCUUCAAGUAUGACAUCUCUCUGCCUUUCUCGUCCUUCUACAAAGUCGUCGAGGUGCUUCGUAACCGAAUACAGGAUCCUCGUAUCGUCAGGAUUAGCGGUUACGGUCAUUUAGGUGACGGGAAUAUACACGUACAAGUUUCCAUACCGGAAUAUUACGCGGACGUGGCCGCGCAGUUGGAGCCAUUCAUCUUCGAGUACGUGUCGCAGUGCCAUGGUAGCAUCAGCGCCGAGCACGGUAUUGGUUUCAAGAAAACGAAAUAUCUCCACUUGAACAAAACAUCCUCCGAGAUCGAGAUGAUGCACGAAUUGAAGAAGCUCAUGGAUCCGAACGGUAUUCUGAAUCCGUACAAGGUCCUGCAGCCGGUUACGGAGACUUGAAACCGUCGUCAGAAUAUAAUUCCUAAAUAAAGAUGAUGUAAAUACUCAAUGUGCCAAGUUAGAUAACGUUACUAGGAGCGACGAGAAAAUUAGCGAACGCGUGUUGAGUGAACGCGGGCGGCAGCGAGAAUCAGCGAGAAUUCUCGAUAAUCGUGCGCAUGCGCGCUGCGCGGUCGAACGGUCUCGAAUGGAGCAGCGAUCAAAUAUAAACCGUCGUACGUGCAGCUGUUGCGCAGUUAGUCGCAAAGUGGAAGCUGCGAGAGAUUGAGAAUUUUGUCAAGUGAUUCCGCAAAACGCUAUUUGAUAUUUAAGAAAUCGUAUUUGAUAUUUUUGUGAAGACGCAAGUGGCUUUGAAGAUAA
RNAcentral lists this unclassified non-coding RNA (2073 nucleotides) under Ooceraea biroi (clonal raider ant). Its description in RNAcentral is "d-2-hydroxyglutarate dehydrogenase, mitochondrial, transcript variant X4". Lineage: Eukaryota; Metazoa; Arthropoda; Insecta; Hymenoptera; Formicidae. The record is from RNAcentral.